This 187-nucleotide ribosomal RNA is filed under the name uncultured bacterium. Its description in RNAcentral is "partial 16S ribosomal RNA". It matches the Rfam family "Bacterial small subunit ribosomal RNA", at positions 524 to 707 of the family's 1533-position model. The record is from RNAcentral.
UACGUAGGUCCCGAGCGUUGUCCGGAUUUAUUGGGCGUAAAGCGAGCGCAGGCGGUUAGAUUAAGUCUGAAGUUUAAAAGGCUGUGGCUUAACCUAGUACGCUUUGGAAACUGUUUAACUUGAGUGCAAGAGGGGAGAGUGGAAUUCCAUGUGUAGCGGUGAAAAUGCGUAGAUAUAAUGGAGGAAC